Molecule: long non-coding RNA, 580 nt
Filed under: Castor canadensis (American beaver)
Lineage: Eukaryota; Metazoa; Chordata; Mammalia; Rodentia; Castoridae
Description: lncRNA (ENSCCNG00000006955.1)
Source: RNAcentral
GAGGGAGGGGUGUUUCAAAUGGAACUGUGGCUGCAGAGCCAGGCAGUGGCUGCAGGCUGAGCAAGGGAACUCAGAACCAAGUGCGGGUGGCCUGAGACAUUUGGUGCCUUGUCUUCCCAUGGCCUCUGACCUUAAAGAGCCCCCAAUGUCCACCUUUCACCUCCAAGUAGAAACGUCAGCCUUGAAGUACACAGCAGUGGAUAAAGACCGUCCCUGGCCAGGUAGAUGGACGGACAGCCUGCUCAGGAAGUUAGCUUCCACACUGCUUCCAGGCGGAGGUCUUCCCUACUCGUCGUGGAGAGCUGCAGAAUCACGAGUUCGUGAGUUUUUUCCAGCUCUGAUGUCAAGGGAAGGGGAAAGAGCAUUUCCAAUUGAAAGCAGUGAGAGUCCCAGAUGGAGUUCCACACCUUCUGUAAGUGAAAUCGCUGGGAUCCUGGCCAGAUGUCUCACACAGGAAGCUAUCCAUCCACAUCAAUUUAGCUACUGUUCACCCACAGAAGCUCCUGUGGUGGGUUCCUCCCCAGUGUGGGGAGGGUGGAGGAAGAGGAGGGAGACACAGAAGAAUCACCUAGAGAACUAA